RNAcentral lists this ribosomal RNA (484 nucleotides) under uncultured bacterium. RNAcentral's name for it is "partial 16S ribosomal RNA". It matches the Rfam family "Bacterial small subunit ribosomal RNA", at positions 30 to 507 of the family's 1533-position model. The record is from RNAcentral.
AUUGAACGCUAGCGGGAUGCUUUACACAUGCAAGUCGAACGGCAGCGCGGACUUCGGUCUGGCGGCGAGUGGCGAACGGGUGAGUAAUGUAUCGGAACGUGCCCAGUAGCGGGGGAUAACUACGCGAAAGCGUAGCUAAUACCGCAUACGCCCUACGGGGGAAAGCAGGGGAUCGUAAGGCCUUGCACUAUUGGAGCGGCCGAUAUCGGAUUAGCUAGUUGGUGAGGUAACGGCUCACCAAGGCGACGAUCCGUAGCUGGUUUGAGAGGCCGACCAGCCACACUGGGACUGAGCAAGGGCCCAGACUCCUACGGGAGGCAGCAGUGGGGAAUUUUGGACAAUGGGGGCAACCCUGAUCCAGCCAUCCCGCGUGUGCGAUGAAGGCCUUCGGGUUGUAAAGCACUUUUGGCAGGAAAGAAACGUCGCGGGCUAAUACCCCGUGGAACUGACGGUACCUGCAGAAUAAGCACCGGCUAACUACGUG